RNAcentral lists this ribosomal RNA (431 nucleotides) under Rhodococcus sp. (in: high G+C Gram-positive bacteria). Its description in RNAcentral is "bacterial SSU rRNA". It matches the Rfam family "Bacterial small subunit ribosomal RNA", at positions 22 to 456 of the family's 1533-position model. The record is from RNAcentral. Lineage: Bacteria; Bacillati; Actinomycetota; Actinomycetes; Mycobacteriales; Nocardiaceae.
GCUCAGGACGAACGCUGGCGGCGUGCUUAACACAUGCAAGUCGAACGGUAAGGCCCUUCGGGGUACACGAGUGGCGAACGGGUGAGUAACACGUGGGUGAUCUGCCCUGCACUUCGGGAUAAGCCCGGGAAACUGGGUCUAAUACCGGAUAGUACUGCGCGGUGCAUGCCGUGUGGUGGAAAGAUUUAUCGGUGCAGGAUGGGCCCGCGGCCUAUCAGCUUGUUGGUGGGGUAAUGGCCUACCAAGGCGACGACGGGUAGCCGGCCUGAGAGGGCGACCGGCCACACUGGGACUGAGACACGGCCCAGACUCCUACGGGAGGCAGCAGUGGGGAAUAUUGCACAAUGGGCGCAAGCCUGAUGCAGCGACGCCGCGUGAGGGAUGAGCGGCCUUCGGGUUGUAAACCUCUUUCAGCAGGGACGAAGCGCAAG